CCUCCCUACUCCAGGGCAUCUCUGAGGUGCCUUGAAGAGAAGCAGUUACCCAAAAGUGCUAAUCUGGGCCAGUCUUGGCUUCCUGGGGACCCUCCAGGACCUCCUGAGAUUCUCCCCUUGAAAGACUCUGGCCCGGGGCCCGAGGGCUGGUUCCGAGGCCCCCACAGGGCUGUGGGUGUGGACACUUCUCCACCCUCUGACCUCUGGUCUCACCCAACGCCCAAGGUGCCCUCCCUCCGGUCAGAUCACGAGAAGUCAGGGCGACUGCAUUUCACAACGUUCAGCCAAGAUGUUGAAGCCGGGAGACAACGAGAAGGCAUUAAACACGGCACCUGACACGACCGGGUCUUGCGUGGUGAUCACCGGGACAGAGGACGCGUCCUUUUCAAUGUCCUCAUGAGCCCCUCUGUGUCAUGAGGAUGGGAAUACACCUGUUUCACUGAAUGAGCACUGCAUCUCAGCACUGAGGACAGUGCCCGGCCCUAACCAGGUGUCCGGUAAGACCUGUGGGCUGACGGCAGAGGCAUGAAUUUCAGCGUCCAGGAGUGGGGGCUGCUGGGCCUCACAUAGAAACAGAACAGCAGCACGUGCUGGGGCCCCGCAGUGAGAUCACCAUAUUCUCCGAAACCCCAGCUGGGCCCCCGUGUUAACAAGGCCCUUGCGCACUGAGGAGAGCCCCGGACGGAAGGGCUGGGGUCCACGCUCCCGGGCUUUCCAGGGAAGGGACAAGCCGACUCCACACCCCGAUCCCCAUCCCUCCAGUCGGCCCUAGGGCUGGAAGGUGGGUGGAACUCACGCUGAUCUGAGCUGGGCCUGGCAGGCCACCUGCCUGGAAGAUUCUGGCCUGCUGUACAAGCAACUCUCUAGUGAGGGGGCUGACCACAGAGAGCUCUGUGUGGGUGUGUGAUGUGUACUUCCUCCGUGUGGGGGCGGGUGGUGUGCAGGUGUGCGUGGUAGGUGGGGGUGCGGUGUGUGUUUUCUCUGUGUGCGUGGGUCUCGCGUGUAUGUGUUUGUGGAGUGUGUGUGUGUGUGUGUGUGCACGUUUGGGGAAGUUUCCACCAGGGCCCCCACUGUGACCUUGGUGGGUCCUUGUCACUCCUGCCUUCAUGGCCCCUUCCUCCAUAAAAGAAAAAAGUAAACAUUUUAUUUUACAACCGUGUUAUUAGUUAGUAUAAAGCUUACUGUAACCAGACUGGA
Long non-coding RNA from Neofelis nebulosa (Clouded leopard), 1197 nucleotides. RefSeq lists it as uncharacterized. The transcript has 2 exons. NCBI's taxonomy places the organism in Eukaryota, Metazoa, Chordata, Mammalia, Carnivora, Felidae. The record is from RefSeq and is a predicted model, not a curated record.